RNAcentral lists this ribosomal RNA (494 nucleotides) under uncultured bacterium. RNAcentral's name for it is "partial 16S ribosomal RNA". It matches the Rfam family "Bacterial small subunit ribosomal RNA", at positions 28 to 507 of the family's 1533-position model. The record is from RNAcentral.
GACGAACGCUGGCGGCGUGCUUAACACAUGCAAGUCGAACGGUGAAGCGCCUUCCUUUUUGGUGGGUGUGGAUGAGUGGCGAACGGGUGAGUAACACGUGAGUAACCUGCCCCCUUCUUCUGGAUAACCGCAUGAAAGUGUGGCUAAUACGGGAUAUUCUGGGUCUGUCGCAUGAUGGGUCUGGGAAAGAUAUUGUUUCGGUGGGGGAUGGGCUCGCGGCCUAUCAGCUUGUUGGUGGGGUGAUGGCCUACCAAGGCGGUGACGGGUAGCCGGCCUGAGAGGGUGGACGGUCACACUGGGACUGAGACACGGCCCAGACUCCUACGGGAGGCAGCAGUGGGGAAUAUUGCACAACGGGCGCAAGCCUGAUGCAGCGACGCCGCGUGAGGGAUGGAGGCCUUCGGGUUGUGAACCUCUUUCGCCAGUGAAGCAGGCCUGCCUCGUUUGUGGGUGGGUUGACGGUAGCUGGAUAAGAAGCGCCGGCUAACUACGUG